Molecule: ribosomal RNA, 57 nt
Filed under: Beauveria bassiana
Lineage: Eukaryota; Fungi; Ascomycota; Sordariomycetes; Hypocreales; Cordycipitaceae
Description: partial 28S ribosomalRNA
Source: RNAcentral
GUUGACCUCGAAUCAGGUAGGACUACCCGCUGACCUUAAGCAUUAAAAACGGGGGAA